Molecule: ribosomal RNA, 433 nt
Filed under: uncultured bacterium
Lineage: Bacteria
Description: partial 16S ribosomal RNA
Rfam family: Bacterial small subunit ribosomal RNA
Source: RNAcentral
AACGAACGCUGGCGGCAUGCCUAACACAUGCAAGUCGAACGAGACCUUCGGGUCUAGUUGCGCACGGGUGCGUACCGCGGGGUAACCUGCCCUUAGGUUCGCAAUAACUCCCCGAAAGGGGUGUUAAUACCGGAUAAUGUCUUCCGACCAAAGAUUUAUCGCUUUAUGAUGGGCGCGCGUUGGAUUAGCUGGUUGGUAGGGUAAAAGCCUACCAAGGGGACGAUCCAUAGCUGGUCUGGGGGGAUGAUCAACCACACUGGGGCUGAGACACGGCCGAGAUUCUUAGGGAAGGAAGGAGUUGGGAAUAUUGGACGAUGGGCGAGAGCCUAAUGCAUCAGUGUCGUGUAGGUGUGGAAGGCGUGAGGAUUGUGAAGCUGUUUUGAACGUGAUGAUAAUGACGGUACCGGGAGAAUAAGCGCCGGCUAACUCCGUG